ACAGCAGUCGCCGCGGUAAUACGGAGGGUGCAAGCGUUAAUCGGAAUUACUGGGCGUAAAGCGUGCGCAGGCGGUUUGUUAAGACAGAUGUGAAAUCCCCGGGCUCAACCUGGGAACUGCAUUUGUGACUGGCAAGCUAGAGUCUGGCAGAGGGGGGUGGAAUUCCGCGUGUAGCAGUGAAAUGCGUAGAUAUGCGGAGGAACACCGAUGGCGAAGGCAGCCCCCUGGGCCAACACUGACGCUCAUGCACGAAAGCGUGGGGAGCAAACAGGAUUAGAUACCGCGUAGUCCCUGUCUCUUAUACA
This 305-nucleotide ribosomal RNA is filed under the name uncultured bacterium. RNAcentral's name for it is "partial 16S ribosomal RNA". It matches the Rfam family "Bacterial small subunit ribosomal RNA", at positions 508 to 808 of the family's 1533-position model. The record is from RNAcentral.